Molecule: ribosomal RNA, 279 nt
Filed under: uncultured bacterium
Lineage: Bacteria
Description: partial 16S ribosomal RNA
Rfam family: Bacterial small subunit ribosomal RNA
Source: RNAcentral
UGCCAGCCGCCGCGGUAAUACGAAGGGGGCUAGCGUUGUUCGGAAUUACUGGGCGUAAAGCGCGCGUAGGUGGUUUGAUAAGCGAGAUGUGAAAGCCCCGGGCUUAACCUGGGAACGGCAUUUCGAACUGUCAGGCUAGAGUAUGGUAGAGGGUAGUGGAAUUUCCUGUGUAGCGGUGAAAUGCGUAGAUAUAGGAAGGAACACCAGUGGCGAAGGCGGCUUUCUGGACCGAUACUGACGCUGAGACGCGAAAGCGUGGGGAGCAAACAGGAUUAGAUA